RNAcentral lists this ribosomal RNA (494 nucleotides) under uncultured bacterium. RNAcentral describes it as "partial 16S ribosomal RNA". It matches the Rfam family "Bacterial small subunit ribosomal RNA", at positions 28 to 507 of the family's 1533-position model. The record is from RNAcentral.
GACGAACGCUGGCGGCGUGCUUAACACAUGCAAGUCGAACGGAAAGGCCUGCUUUCCCUUGUGGAUUGCGGGUACUCGCGUGGCGAACGGGUGAGUAACACGUGAGUGAUCUGCCCCCAACUUGGGUAUAAGCCUGGGAAACUGGGUCUAAUUCCCGGUAGGACUGCAGGGUGGUGCCUGUUGUUGGAAACGAUUUUCUAGUGGGUGGGGAUGAGCGCGCGGCCUAUCAGCUUGUUGGUGGGGUAAUGGCCUACCAAGGCGGCGACGGGUAGCCGGCCUGAGAGGGUGGACGGCCACAUUGGGACUGAGAUACGGCCCAGACUCCUACGGGAGGCAGCAGUGGGGAAUAUUGCACAAUGGGCGGAAGCCUGAUGCAGCGACGCCGCGUGGGGGAUGACGGCCUUCGGGUUGUAAACUCCUUUCGACCGCGAGGAAGCCACCUGGUUGGAAGGGUGGUGACGGUAGUGGUAGAAGAAGCACCGGCUAACUACGUG